GAUGAACGCUGGCGGCGUGCCUAAUACAUGCAAGUCGAGCGAACGGACGAGAAGUUUGCUUCUCUGACGUUAGCGGCGGACGGGUGAGUAACAUGUGGAUAACCUACCUAUAAGACUGGGAUAACUCCGGGAAACCGGAGCUAAUACCGGAUAAUAUUUUGAACCGCAUGGUUCAAAAGUGAAAGACGGUCUUGCUGUCACUUAUAGAUGGAUCCGCGCUGCAUUAGCUAGUUGGUAAGGUAACGGCUUACCAAGGCAACGAUGCGUAGCCGACCUGAGAGGGUGAUCGGCCACACUGGAACUGAGACACGGUCCAGACUCCUACGGGAGGCAGCAGUGGGGAAUCUUCCGCAAUGGGCGAAAGCCUGACGCAGCAACGCCGCGUGAGUGAUGAAGGUCUUCGGGUCGUAAAACUCUGUUAUUAGGGAAGAACAUAUGUGUAAGUAACUGUGCACAUCAUGACGGUACCUAAUCAGAAAGCCACGGCUAACUACGUG
Molecule: ribosomal RNA, 497 nt
Filed under: uncultured bacterium
Lineage: Bacteria
Description: partial 16S ribosomal RNA
Rfam family: Bacterial small subunit ribosomal RNA
Source: RNAcentral